UGGUGAUGGCAAAUAUCUGGGAUAUGGAUGCAACAAGGACAUUCUUUAAGCCGAUUGCAUUGCGUUGUGCUGUAUGAACGGGAGCAGUCCAUCAUAGUAAUGGAAACAGAUGCCAUUGUUGCAGAAUAGAAUUGGAAGUUCAACCUACCAAAUGCAAGAGGACUCUGGAAAUGACCAACUACGAUCCCGGCAAGUGUGUUCGCCUUCUUAACUCCAAACCCUGCAGUCUAUCCCCGCAGUUUAUUCAAUAGGAGUAGAGCAAACAAGAGCUUCUAGGUUCCUAGCUUGCCAAAACUUGUCAAAUGGACACACAUGGUGUACCAAACAAAAAGCUACCGCCAAAGGCUAGCGUGCCCAACCCUCUUGGAAGAUAAAUUGGCACUUACUACGAAUGCUUCUGUGAAGUAAUCACACACAUGUACACAGAGAGUGUUGAAAUGGCUGAUAAAAUGGUUGAUCAGAUCAGGGCAAUGGGCUUGAACAAUAAAAUAGAAUGGUAUCCUGUGAUUUCGCGUGAAUGGCUAGGAAUGUUGUGAUAGUCGAGUCGAGAUAUCACAUGAUAUAUACUGUUACAUAUUCUUUUAGCUUUGGAGUUCUGGUGGAAACAUAUGGUCCCGAUUUGGGAUUGGCGAUGGAACUUAGCAUCUAUGUUGGGCAUGUGAUUCACCACUCCAAAUGGAUUUCAGCAUUUUUUCUCUUUCUUUUCGACAUUGGUCGAGUUACCUGGUACUUCGUCUAGAUAACGGUAAAACCUUGGAGAUACAACCUUACUACUUGUUUCAAUUUGCACAUACAUUGCCGCAUUGUUGGAAGUAACUGCAAAUUGUUUGAUUCUUGAUGUCUGGAUUGAAAUGUAAUCUCACCUACCUUGAGGAGAAAAGAAGUAUAGCCCAUCCCUGGAGAUUGGUUCGUUUAGUUAAUAAAACUCAUGCAUGGACUACUUAAAUUAUAUCAUUACACAUCGAGACUAAUAUUGUGAAGCAAAGAUGAAUAUUUGCGGCAUGGUCGAAACAUGAUAUUCUUACUCUUGAUGAGUAGGGAGAUAUCUUGUGGCUCUUGAUAUAUAAUCACUUGUUCAUAGUCAGCGAAGCAUGGCAAAGUUGCAAUUCUGGAUGGUCAAAUCCAACUGACGGAGAAGGAUGAGUUUGUUUACCAAGAGAUGCUCACGCAUCUUCCCCUCUGCUCAAUCCCAAACCUGAAGAAGUGCUGCUUGUUGGUGGCGGAGAUGGAGGCAUUCUGAGGGAAAUAUGUCGUCACUCGUCCGUGGAACUAAUCGAUGUGUGUGAACUCGACCAAAUGGUGAUUGAUGUUUACAAGCAAUUCUUCCCUGAAAUAGCAGUUGCGUACGAGGAUCCGCGAGUGAACAUCUACAUUAAAGAUG
Molecule: long non-coding RNA, 1381 nt
Organism: Eucalyptus grandis
Lineage: Eukaryota; Viridiplantae; Streptophyta; Magnoliopsida; Myrtales; Myrtaceae
Exons: 5
Source: RefSeq, a predicted model, not a curated record